GGAUGGCGGCAUGCACAGGCAGAGCAUUUAUACGGUGAAACUGCGAAUGGCUCAUUAAAUCAGUUAUCGUUUAUUUGAUAGUACCUUACUACAUGGAUACCUGUGGUAAUUCUAGAGCUAAUACAUGCUAAAAACCUCGACUUCGGAAGGGGUGUAUUUAUUAGAUAAAAAACCAAUGCCCUUCGGGGCUCCUUGGUGAAUCAUAAUAACUUAACGAAUCGCAUGGCCUUGCGCCGGCGAUGGUUCAUUCAAAUUUCUGCCCUAUCAACUUUCGAUGGUAGGAUAGUGGCCUACCAUGGUGGCAACGGGUAACGGGGAAUUAGGGUUCGAUUCCGGAGAGGGAGCCUGAGAAACGGCUACCACAUCCAAGGAAGGCAGCAGGCGCGCAAAUUACCCAAUCCCGACACGGGGAGGUAGUGACAAUAAAUACUGAUACGGGGCUCUUUUGGGUCUCGUAAUUGGAAUGAGUACAAUCUAAAUCCCUUAACGAGGAACAAUUGGAGGGCAAGUCUGGUGCCAGCAGCCGCGGUAAUUCCAGCUCCAAUAGCGUAUAUUAAAGUUGUUGCAGUUAAAAAGCUCGUAGUUGAACCUUGGGUCUGGCUGGCCGGUCCGCCUCACCGCGAGUACUGGUCCGGCUGGACCUUUCCUUCUGGGGAACCUCAUGGCCUUCACUGGCUGUGGGGGGAACCAGGACUUUUACUGUGAAAAAAUUAGAGUGUUCAAAGCAGGCCUUUGCUCGAAUACAUUAGCAUGGAAUAAUAGAAUAGGACGUGCGGUUCUAUUUUGUUGGUUUCUAGGACCGCCGUAAUGAUUAAUAGGGAUAGUCGGGGGCGUCAGUAUUCAGCUGUCAGAGGUGAAAUUCUUGGAUUUGCUGAAGACUAACUACUGCGAAAGCAUUCGCCAAGGAUGUUUUCAUUAAUCAGGGAACGAAAGUUAGGGGAUCGAAGACGAUCAGAUACCGUCGUAGUCUUAACCAUAAACUAUGCCGACUAGGGAUCGGGCGGUGUUUCUAUGAUGACCCGCUCGGCACCUUACGAGAAAUCAAAGUUGUGGGUCUGUGUUGUGAUGAAUUCCCUUGGU
Molecule: ribosomal RNA, 1080 nt
Filed under: fungal sp. HS33 LX-2016
Lineage: Eukaryota; Fungi
Description: SSU rRNA
Rfam family: Eukaryotic small subunit ribosomal RNA
Source: RNAcentral